UCCUACCUGCACGCACGGUGAGCCACUGCUGCAGAAACGGCGCAGCAGGAUGGAGCCGGAAUGAAAUCAUAUGCAAAACUUUCCUGAGAGUGAAGAGGCCCCCCGGCAGAGGGCCAUGGCUCUGUCCGCUCACUUUGGUGUUUUGAGGACCAGAGAAUUGCGGGAGCUUCUAGAGGACGAGGACAAAAUAAAUCAGAUUGUCACACUGAGUCAGAAGUUUCAGGGACUAAUGAGGGCUACGGAGAGCAUGCUGGUUUCAAAUCAGAGAUUGGCAAAAGCCACUCUCUGUCAGAAACCUGCGUUUAGAGAUGCCAAGCUGCUGCUCGCAGUGAAGUACAAGGAACUAGAAAACUUAGCAGCAUCACCCAGGCCAAACAAGAACAACUCUCAGAAAAACGCAUCAUUCACAGUGCUCAGCAGUGUCUCCUGAAAAAGAUCAAACAUGCUGAAGAGGAGUGUGAGAUGCUGUUUCAGAGGUUUGUGGAGGGGAAAACACCACUGGCGGAUUUCUUGGAUUCCUUUCAAAAGUCACGGAAACUCCACCACACCAGGCUGGUCCUGGUGGCAAAAAUACAGGAAAUGAUCCAGUCUGAGCAGAAACUACAAAGACCGACCGCGAUUUGUCCCAACACUGAACAUUUUGCUGCGGGCUGUCAUGGUGAGGUACAUAACACCUGCCAUCCGUUCUGCAGCCUAACCACAGCUCUCGUUUUGCCCGCCUUCUGCCACUCUCACACCUGUGUUCCUGUCCAGUCUCCAUUCCUGCUGCCCAUUGGUGCCCAGCCUUUACAGCAUGUACCGUUUUGUUUUGACAACGAAGAGCCUGUGUGUCCCAGACUGUAUGGACAAGGCCCCAGAUGGCAGGCAAGACCCGUCCGACUUCAGCCACUGAGGAUCCAGCCCAGAGACGACCAACAGGCGCCACGCUGAAGCCUAAACCAGUCUCGGAUUAACGUUUUUGAAUUUCACUGAAUCUUAAUGUGCAUUUGGGUAAUGCAAACUACCUCUGAGAUCAAGACUGGGAUAAGAUGCUCUCUGUACAACUGCACAUUAAGCACAGAAAGAUCAAGAGAGUGAAUUUCUCCAGUUGAGAAAAGCCCCCGACUCAAAGUGCAACAUGUUUUCUGACCGCUUUGCAUCAUGGUCUCGACUGAGGCUUGUGUUUGUGUACACACUGGUAUCUCUUCUUCUGCUGCAAUGAAUUUCUCCCCAGUGUGAUUGUUGAAUGUUAUUGCAGUUGAGUGUAGAAAGCCCUCACUCUUAAAUUCUGACACUAAAAUCCAACAUUUGUUGUUUAUGUUUAAUGGGUGACACAACGUGAAUCUGCUUGUGUAUUAAGGCACUUACUCUAAUAAAUUUUUAUUUGCUUAAAAUUAGCCUGUCCCUACUUAUGCACAUCCAAAAUUGAGGAGGCUCUGCAGCAGAUGAUUAUUGUUGCUUAGUAACAAAGAACCCAUGAACUCCCAUUUGAAAUCCCAAAAGAAAAGAGAGCAUAUGCCGCAUUGAUGAACCUCCAUCUUUCUGUGGGUUAGGAAAUCUUGAACUAUAGAUAGCACUGGCGUGGUUAUUCACCGAGUGAACUUGAACUCCUCACCGACACUUGAUAUCUCUGAUCAUCUGUCUGCAGAGUCUCCUGCCAAGGUCAGUGGAGGACCAUGAAUGGCGCCCCCCCGAUACUUUCCUUCUUUAAACUCAAUUACACUUACUACAGUAACUCUUUUGAUGGAGGGACGAAGGCAGUUUUGUCGCAGUAUUGUCUUACUUAAACUGUGUCACCUGGUGCCUGUUCAGUACCCGUGUGUGCUCGCCUGACCACCCAUAGGGUUAGCCAGAGUGCCAUAUGGCCCAAUGAAGCUUGCCAUACUAAUUGCGCUGUGGAGAAAGCCCACUGGCACUACAGGAGAUGAUUAGCAAGGCGAGGCAUGUUAAAAGGCUUUUGUUACACAAUGGACUUCAGUUACAUCUAUGUCAGCAGCCUGCAUUGUCCGAAGACACUCAAAUUGGGCAAUUUUCUUGUCUGUCAGCUAAUCAUUGCAAUGCCUUUCAGCUCAGAUCUUCACAUUCUUUGAUGGGGCACGAGGCCGCGGCUGUCCUGGUGGUGGUGAUAUAGAGGCCGUGUUUUGAAAAAAUGACCUCUAUGCACAAUAUUCAGCUUUCAAAAGGCUCCUAUAGUAUCAAAAUUAAUAUCAAAAAGCCAAAAUGAAGCCACCCAGUUACUUAAAAGUCAAGUCUCAAUGUGCUAUUGAACUACUAUGUUGUACUUUGGUGUUCUUCUACACACACACACAUUAGGCCAUACUCGUACAGUAAGCACAGAAGUAAUAAAAAUCAGCAAUACAAAGCCUUUUAUCAGCGGUAUGUGUUAAAAUAGGUCAUCUCACAAGUAGGCAUGUGAAGCUAUUGCUCCCCUGUAUGGCCACAUGUAAAGGGGAUUACAGAGUAUCUGUGACAGCAGCCGGUGGUAUAGCAGGUAUGGAGUAACAUGUAGAGCAGUUCAAUUAUGUAAGAAUGAGGGAUGAUGUCAGCUGACCCACUUAUUUUGAAUGAAUGUCCCUUAAAACACACCCAGCUUUAGAGGAAAGCUAUUGAAGGAUGCACUGGAUUUAUUCAGUUCAUAGUUCAUUUCAUUUACGGAGUACACCUGGCCAGUGUGGUUUCAGUGUGCUGCUUCAAAUCAAUGAUGAAAGAUGAAUGAACUCCCUGGUGUGAAAAUUAAUAUCUAUUAUAAAUAUCUACAUAUUAAAUUAUGUAACAUUCUUAUAUUGCACAAAUAUAAAGGUACUAGCUUAGUAAUAAAACUAAUCUCCAUCCCAAACCUGACAAUUUUUCUAGUAGUGCAAAUCACACCUGUUGAGUACUGAGGAAAAGACUGUGCUGUUUGCAUUAUGGUCUUAAUUAGAAAAUCGUCACCCGACAAAUGAAACAUAACAUCAAUCGAUACAAAUAAAGCUUGCAUGAUCAGACAGACAGUAAACACAUAGCACCUGAAACUGACCACAGAACAAACUCUGUUUCCUCUACUAAGCCAGUUUUUACUUUGUAAACUAAUCUGCCUUCGGGCGAUGUAGAAAAUAAGUGUUCCAGUAUGUGGCAACACUCAGCAAAAGUCACUUGUGCAACAUGAAUAAUUCCUGCUACAUCUCUUUUUUUUUUUUUUUUUUUUUUUUUUUUUUUGGAGCAAGGCCUCUUGUGGUUUAAUCCCUGA
This is a long non-coding RNA of Myripristis murdjan (pinecone soldierfish), 3205 nucleotides long. RefSeq lists it as uncharacterized. The record is from RefSeq and is a predicted model, not a curated record. Lineage: Eukaryota; Metazoa; Chordata; Actinopteri; Holocentriformes; Holocentridae. The transcript has 4 exons.